GGCCGUUCUUGGGUGACAUACCCUGGAAUUGGGCUCCCUCCUCUCUGGUUCUGGGUGUGUCACCUGAGAACUGCU
Myotis brandtii (Brandt's bat) is the source of this 75-nucleotide non-coding RNA. NCBI's taxonomy places the organism in Eukaryota, Metazoa, Chordata, Mammalia, Chiroptera, Vespertilionidae. The record is from Rfam.